RNAcentral lists this ribosomal RNA (254 nucleotides) under uncultured bacterium. RNAcentral describes it as "partial 16S ribosomal RNA". It matches the Rfam family "Bacterial small subunit ribosomal RNA", at positions 524 to 776 of the family's 1533-position model. The record is from RNAcentral.
CACGUAGGGUGCGAGCGUUGUCCGGAAUUAUUGGGCGUAAAGAGCUCGUAGGCGGUCUGUCGCGUCGGUCGUGAAAACUUGGGGCUUAACCCUGAGCUUGCGGUCGAUACGGGCAUGACUGGAGUUCGGCAGGGGAGACUGGAAUUCCUGGUGUAGCGGUGAAAUGCGCAGAUAUCAGGAGGAACACCGAUGGCGAAGGCAGGUCUCUGGGCCACUACUGACGCUGAGAAGCGAAAGCAUGGGGAGCGAACAGG